RNAcentral lists this ribosomal RNA (253 nucleotides) under uncultured bacterium. RNAcentral's name for it is "partial 16S ribosomal RNA". It matches the Rfam family "Bacterial small subunit ribosomal RNA", at positions 524 to 776 of the family's 1533-position model. The record is from RNAcentral.
UACGUAGGGUGCAAGCGUUGUCCGGAAUUAUUGGGCGUAAAGAGCUCGUAGGCGGUCUGUCGCGUCUGCUGUGAAAACUCAGGGCUUAACCCUGAGCUUGCAGUGGGUACGGGCAGACUAGAGUGCGGUAGGGGAGACUGGAAUUCCUGGUGUAGCGGUGAAAUGCGCAGAUAUCAGGAGGAACACCGGUGGCGAAGGCGGGUCUCUGGGCCGUAACUGACGCUGAGGAGCGAAAGCCAGGGAAGCAAACGGG